This 98-nucleotide microRNA precursor is filed under the name Hordeum vulgare. Its description in RNAcentral is "microRNA MIR1122". It matches the Rfam family "MIR1120/MIR1122 microRNA precursor family". Lineage: Eukaryota; Viridiplantae; Streptophyta; Magnoliopsida; Poales; Poaceae. The record is from RNAcentral.
AAAAUUCUUGUCUUAGAUUUGUCUAAAUAUGAAUGUAUCUAGUCAUGUUAUAGUAUUUAGAUACAUUCAUUUUUAGACAAACCUAAGACAAGAAUUUU